UACCAGCACCCCGAGUGGUCGGGACGAUUAUUGGGCCUAAAGCAUCCGUAGCCGGUCAUGCAAGUCUUCCGUUAAAUCCAGCCGCUCAACGGUUGGGCUGCGGAGGAUACUACGUGGCUAGGAGGCGGGAGAGGCAAGCGGUACUCAGUGGGUAGGGGUAAAAUCCGUUGAUAUCAUGGGGAACACCGAAAGCGAAGGCAGUACAUUGGGCCACUCCUGACACUGAAACACGAAAGCGUGGGUAGCGAAUGGG
Molecule: ribosomal RNA, 253 nt
Filed under: uncultured bacterium
Lineage: Bacteria
Description: partial 16S ribosomal RNA
Rfam family: Bacterial small subunit ribosomal RNA (bases 27-253)
Source: RNAcentral